UACGGGGGGGGCAAGCGUUGUUCGGAAUUACGGGGCGUAAAGGGCUCGUAGGCGGCCAACUAAGUCGGAUGUGAAAUCCCCAGGCUCAACUUGGGAACUGCAUCCGAUACUGGAUGGCUUGAAUUCGGGAGAGGGAUGCAGAAUUCCAGGUGUAGCGGUGAAAUGCGUAGAUAUCUGGAGGAAUACCGGUGGCGAAGGCGGCAUCCUGGACCGACAUUGACGCUGAGGAGCGAAAGCUAGGGGAGCAAACGGG
This 253-nucleotide ribosomal RNA is filed under the name uncultured bacterium. Its description in RNAcentral is "partial 16S ribosomal RNA". It matches the Rfam family "Bacterial small subunit ribosomal RNA", at positions 524 to 776 of the family's 1533-position model. The record is from RNAcentral.